UACAGAGGGGGCAAGCGUUGUUCGGAAUUACUGGGCGUAAAGGGCGCGUAGGCGGCCUUCUAAGUCGAACGUGAAAUCCCCGGGCUCAACCCGGGAACUGCGUCCGAUACUGGAAGGCUUGAAUCCGGGAGAGGGAUGCGGAAUUCCAGGUGUAGCGGUGAAAUGCGUAGAUAUCUGGAGGAACACCGGUGGCGAAGGCGGCAUCCUGGACCGGCAUCGACGUUCAGGCACGAAAGCGUGGGGAGCAAACAGG
RNAcentral lists this ribosomal RNA (253 nucleotides) under uncultured bacterium. RNAcentral describes it as "partial 16S ribosomal RNA". It matches the Rfam family "Bacterial small subunit ribosomal RNA", at positions 524 to 776 of the family's 1533-position model. The record is from RNAcentral.